ACGCUGAUGGCUCAGUGGUUAAGCACUUGGCUGCUAACCAAAAAGUCACUGGUUUGAACCUGCUAGGCGCU
This 71-nucleotide transfer RNA is filed under the name Loxodonta africana (African savanna elephant). It matches the Rfam family "tRNA". From Rfam's summary of the family: Transfer RNA (tRNA) molecules are approximately 80 nucleotides in length. The record is from Rfam by way of RNAcentral. Lineage: Eukaryota; Metazoa; Chordata; Mammalia; Proboscidea; Elephantidae.